GUAGUUUUUUUUGACUGCACUAAUAGUUCGUAAACACCACACAGGAAGUAGGAAAAGAACUACAUUUCCCAUCUGCCCUGGCUGUCACAGGCUAAUAGCACCAGCUGCUUUCCAUUGCCCUAAUGAGUGAUUCUACUGCGGCAACGAGACCAAAUACAACGAAAGUAUUGAUGCUGCAAAAGAAGACGGAUCUUUUGGUAGGCUGGUUAUUGAUGACCACAAGCACCCAAAUGGCAGAAUGCAGAAGACUGAAGUGGAUGGAAGCCCACAUCUUGGUCUGUUUGCUUUAACAGACUUUAAAGAAGGUGAUGAAAUUGCCUACAAUUACAGAGGAGGAGACUGGCCUUGGUGCAGCAAGGUAAAACAUCUACUCUGAAAAAGAGGAAGGCUCGGGAAGGAAAUCAGGUCCAUGCAGUGGGGAGACAUAUGAAGACCUUCAUCAUGUCAUGUCGUGACCCAGGGAAGUUGGUCAGUGAAAACUGCAUUAGAUCUGAGUCUUUAUAUCUUAAAGAUAGAGACUGGCAAAGUGUCAAAUUCUAUGUCUAUAACUGCACUGUCGCUUACAAAAGAGAUAUAAACAAAGAUUAAUUACCACUUUGAUAGUAACACUUUACAUCUAUAUUACAGAUACUGUACAUCAUAACAUCUGUAGUAAUGCUUUAAUAAUAAGUUACAUUACACCUCUAGCCUUUUACUUUGUAAUGAAACACUCAGCAUUUACUUCAUCAUAAACUAAUCAGGAACAAAUCAGGCAUUUAAAAUAUCCAUUAGAAUCUUUACCUACACCGUUAUAUUGAAUUAGAUCAAAUUGGUUUGGGCCGCCUUCUUCCAGUGGGUCCUUAUGCAGGUGACUGACAAGUUCAUGAGUAAGCCUAUUGGGCAAUAAAAGCUUCAGUGUGCUACCCAUUUACAUGUUUAGACUGCCUGGAAUCAAAAUUAGCUACCUCAACAUACAUUAUUAAGUUGUUACUGUCACUUUUUAGCUUAGUCAGUUAAGUGGAUAUAGAAUUGUGUUUAUGACAUUUGGUUGUGUGUCUGUGUUUGGCUAGUAUCUUUAUUUUUCUCAAUAUGUUUAACUUUGAGCUGGCUAUAUGUAGUAAGCAGAAGUGUUAUGUCAAACUUAAAUGAGUCCAAGUUCAUUCAUGGCACAUGUGAGCUUAGUAGUUGUGCACUUUAAUGGGCAAAUAUUUGUUGUCUUUUACAGUAAAGAAGCUCAAGACUCAAGUUGUCUUUAUAAUGUUGAAUAGACAGGGUUUUUUCAUCUUACUGACAAUUUUUCACUUGAUUAGAGAUCCAGACCAAUAAACAAAUCCUUCAUGUAGCUAAAAUAUCAAAAGGAUGAGUUUCUUUGUCAUUUUGACUUGCCAAAAUGACUGGGGAUAGUGUUAAUUUGUGAUGCAUGCCUGUGAUAAAUAAGUGAGGUUCAGUACAGCUAGCACCUCUACUUUCUAUUCCACAAAAAAAAUUGUAUACUUUGGAGCAGGAAAUGAAAAGCUUCUUAGAAUUAUAGCCUCAAAACUAAUAAUAGCACUGGUACCACCUUCCUUAACAAGUUCCUAGGUUUCUCAAAGGGUUCCUCUGUUGGAAAUAGAAAGCUCCAAAAAAAUGUAGUCUGUUAUCUAUUACGUGCAGAUAUUGAAAUUUGUGUAAGAGAGCUUUUUGAUAACCAAACUUUCACUGAUAGCAUA
Ictalurus punctatus (channel catfish) is the source of this 1688-nucleotide long non-coding RNA. RefSeq lists it as uncharacterized. The transcript is spliced from 3 exons. The record is from RefSeq and is a predicted model, not a curated record. Lineage: Eukaryota; Metazoa; Chordata; Actinopteri; Siluriformes; Ictaluridae.